Molecule: ribosomal RNA, 497 nt
Filed under: uncultured bacterium
Lineage: Bacteria
Description: partial 16S ribosomal RNA
Rfam family: Bacterial small subunit ribosomal RNA
Source: RNAcentral
GACGAACGCUGGCGGCGUGCCUAAUACAUGCAAGUUGAGCGCUGAAGGCUGGUACUUGUACCAACUGGAUGAGGAGCGAACGUGUGAGUAACGCGUGUGGAAUCUGCCUUUGAGCGGGGUACCACAUGUGGAAACGAAUGCUAAUACCGCAUAAAAACUUUAAACACAAGUUUUAAGUUUGAAAGAUGCAAUUGCAUCACUCAAAGAUGAUCCCGCGUUGUAUUAGCUAGUUGGUGAGGUAAAGGCGCACCAAGGCGAUGAUACGUAGCCGACCUGAGAGGGUGAGCGGCCGCACUGAGACGGAGACACGGCACAUAGUGAUACAGAUGGCAGCAGUACGGAUUCGGGGGCAAGGGACGAAAGUCUGUGCGAGCAACGCGGAGUGAGGGAAGAACGUUGCCGGAUCGUAAAUCACGGUUGGUAGGGAAGAACGUUGGUGCGCGUGGAAAGCUGAGCAAGUGACGGUAAUGGGCAAGAAAGGAACGGCUAACUACGUG